CCUACGGGUGGCAGCAGUGAGGAAUAUUGGUCAAUGGGCGAGAGCCUGAACCAGCCAAGUCGCGUGAGGGAGUACUGCCCUAUGGGUUGUAAACCUCUUUUGUCGGGGAGCAAAAGCCGGACGUGUCCGGCUGUGAGAGUACCCGAAGAAAAAGCAUCGGCUAACUCCGUGCCAGCAGCCGCGGUAAUACGGAGGAUGCGAGCGUUAUCCGGAUUUAUUGGGUUUAAAGGGUUCGCAGGCGGAUUUUUAAGUCAGCGGUAAAAUCGUGGGGCUCAACCCCAUCCAGCCGUUGAAACUGGGGAUCUAGAGUGUGCGAGAGGUAUGCGGAAGGCGUGGUGUAGCGGUGAAAUGCAUAGAUAUCACGCAGAACCCCGAUUGCGAAGGCAGCAUACCGGUGCACAACUGACGCUCAGGCACGAAAGCGUGGGUAUCGAACAGGAUUAGAUACCCGAGUAGUC
Molecule: ribosomal RNA, 458 nt
Filed under: uncultured bacterium
Lineage: Bacteria
Description: partial 16S ribosomal RNA
Rfam family: Bacterial small subunit ribosomal RNA
Source: RNAcentral